GAGAAAGUAAAUAAACACUGUACUACCCGGAAAGCAUAAAAUCUUGAGCCUGAUCUCUUUAUUUUGAAAUCUCAUUAUCAAAACAGGCAACUUGGUCAUUCAUUUUCUGGUAAUCAAUAUAAUAUAACACUCAAGUUCUAACAUCGUGGAGAUGAUUCCCAUUUAAAAUAAUAUUUAGAAGUCUAGAGGAAAACUCAGACUUAUAAUUAUUUAAUAUUUUAAAUAUAAUUUGAGACGAAAUAUGUGGCAUUUUGUUGCCGUUAUAUAUUCAGGUUUCCUUAAACUUCUCAUUGGAAUGAAAAAAUAGAGACAAAAAUAAAUAGAUGGUCGGUGCAAUAAAGUGGGCGAAAAGAAGUUGAUGGAUAGCAUGACUUAUUGUCCCUUAUCUUUUUCUCUCUACAAAAAGAGAUGGACGGCAUGAUGUUGCCCUCUCUCUUUCUCUCUCUACAAAAAG
RNAcentral lists this long non-coding RNA (454 nucleotides) under Amborella trichopoda. Its description in RNAcentral is "long non-coding RNA (ATRI_LNC001356)". Lineage: Eukaryota; Viridiplantae; Streptophyta; Magnoliopsida; Amborellales; Amborellaceae. The record is from RNAcentral.